GACGAACGCUGGCGGCGUGCCUAAUACAUGCAAGUAGAACGCACAGUUUAUACCGUAGCUUGCUACACCAUAAACUGUGAGUUGCGAACGGAUGAGUAACGCGUAGGUAACCUGCCUGGUAGCGGGGGAUAACUAUUGGAAACGAUAGCUAAUACCGCAUAAUAUUAAUUAUUGCAUGAUAAUUGAUUGAAAGAUGCAAUUGCAUCACUACCAGAUGGACCUGCGUUGUAUUAGCUAGUAGGUGAGGUAACGGCUCACCUAGGCGACGAUACAUAGCCGACCUGAGAGGGUGAUCGGCCACACUGGGACUGAGACACGGCCCAGACUCCUACGGGAGGCAGCAGUAGGGAAUCUUCGGCAAUGGACGAAAGUCUGACCGAGCAACGCCGCGUGAGUGAAGAAGGUUUUCGGAUCGUAAAGCUCUGUUGUAAGAGAAGAACGGGUGUGAGAGUGGAAAGUUCACACUGUGACGGUAUCUUACCAGAAAGGGACGGCUAACUACGUG
This 505-nucleotide ribosomal RNA is filed under the name uncultured bacterium. RNAcentral describes it as "partial 16S ribosomal RNA". It matches the Rfam family "Bacterial small subunit ribosomal RNA", at positions 28 to 507 of the family's 1533-position model. The record is from RNAcentral.